Long non-coding RNA from Chenopodium quinoa (quinoa), 959 nucleotides. RefSeq lists it as uncharacterized. The transcript has 3 exons. The record is from RefSeq and is a predicted model, not a curated record. Lineage: Eukaryota; Viridiplantae; Streptophyta; Magnoliopsida; Caryophyllales; Amaranthaceae.
AAAAAUGAGCGAAAGUUAAAAAUUUAGAGUUGGCACCAGUUCUAACUUAAACCGGUGCCAACUGAAUUUUUUACAAAAAAAAAAAAAAUAAAAAAAAAAUUAUGGGAUAGAGUUGGCACCUGUUUAAGGAGAACCGGUGCCAACUAUGGUAAUUUGCACCGGUUCAAACCGGUGCCAUUUCUUUUUAAAAAAAAACCCGGGUUUUGUUUCUUCUUCAUUCAAUACGUCGUUCUUCUUCAUAUUCAACAACGCGCGUUUCUUCUUCAUUUCUCCCGAACUCCAUUCCAUUGAAGCAGCUCACUCUCUCUCCAUUGAAGCAGCUCGCUCUCUCUCCAUUAAAGUGGUUUACGAGCUUUCUUACUCCAUUGAAGCAGCACCUCCUUCUCUCUCCAUAUCUCUAGCCUCCAUUGAACUCGUGCUCUAUAUUCUCCAUUGAAGUCGAUUCUGAGCAUUCUCACCUCCAUUGAAGCAGCUUUGAGGGUUCUGGCUUUAUUUCUAUUUUUUUCGAACAAAAUAAGUAGGAGAACUCAGUUGCGAGCCUUAUUGCGACCUAUGCACCCCUUCCCCGGUUUCAUUGUGGAGUUCUUUAGUUGUGCUCCAUCAAUCAAGGGUUUUGUUUGGCGGUGGUGGUGACAGAUUUUGCAGCAGCGGAAGGAAGACUAACUCAGUUUCAAUUUGCACAAUUUGUUGAAGACUAAAAUCGUUGGCUUCAUCUUCUUCAGGUUCUCGUUGUUCUCUUUAUUCUUGAGUUUGUGUGUUUUUUUUAGUGUUAUUAAUGUUUGGUUCUUGACUUGGGUGUGUGGAAAGACUUGUUGAUACAUUGAACUUUGAACUCCUUCUGAAGAUCAUUACCUAGGCUUGAUUAGGAGAUAGAUUAUUUUUUAUCUUCAUAUAAUUUAAAUCAUUUAUGCUUGAGAUCAUAGCCAAAUUGUAUGUAUUUGAAUUCAUUUAAUGUAGAA